GAUCAAGGAUGAAAAUAUCCAGAUCUAAGCAUCAGAGGCCUUCCAGGCUACCUGAUGUACAAUUUUUGUAGUUCUGAGA
Small nucleolar RNA from Mustela putorius furo (domestic ferret), 79 nucleotides. The record is from Ensembl. NCBI's taxonomy places the organism in Eukaryota, Metazoa, Chordata, Mammalia, Carnivora, Mustelidae.